This 787-nucleotide ribosomal RNA is filed under the name Staphylococcus sp. Y16-MSE-E14. RNAcentral's name for it is "bacterial SSU rRNA". It matches the Rfam family "Bacterial small subunit ribosomal RNA", at positions 56 to 825 of the family's 1533-position model. The record is from RNAcentral. RNAcentral also lists the same sequence under 2 other names. Lineage: Bacteria; Bacillati; Bacillota; Bacilli; Caryophanales; Staphylococcaceae.
UGCAGUCGAGCGAACAGAUGAGAAGCUUGCUUCUCUGAUGUUAGCGGCGGACGGGUGAGUAACACGUGGGUAACCUACCUAUAAGACUGGGAUAACUCCGGGAAACCGGGGCUAAUACCUGAUAAUAUUUUGAACCGCAUGGUUCGAUAGUGAAAGGCGGCUUCGGCUGUCACUUAUAGAUGGACCCGCGCCGUAUUAGCUAGUUGGUAAGGUAAUGGCUUACCAAGGCGACGAUACGUAGCCGACCUGAGAGGGUGAUCGGCCACACUGGAACUGAGACACGGUCCAGACUCCUACGGGAGGCAGCAGUAGGGAAUCUUCCGCAAUGGGCGAAAGCCUGACGGAGCAACGCCGCGUGAGUGAUGAAGGUUUUCGGAUCGUAAAACUCUGUUGUUAGGGAAGAACAAAUUUGUUAGUAACUGAACAAGUCUUGACGGUACCUAACCAGAAAGCCACGGCUAACUACGUGCCAGCAGCCGCGGUAAUACGUAGGUGGCAAGCGUUAUCCGGAAUUAUUGGGCGUAAAGCGCGCGUAGGCGGUUUCUUAAGUCUGAUGUGAAAGCCCACGGCUCAACCGUGGAGGGUCAUUGGAAACUGGGGAACUUGAGUGCAGAAGAGGAGAGUGGAAUUCCAUGUGUAGCGGUGAAAUGCGCAGAGAUAUGGAGGAACACCAGUGGCGAAGGCGGCUCUCUGGUCUGUAACUGACGCUGAUGUGCGAAAGCGUGGGGAUCAAACAGGAUUAGAUACCCUGGUAGUCCACGCCGUAAACGAUGAGUGCUAAGUGUUA